ACUAUUACAGAAGUAUAUCGGGACAAGACCCACGACAUCUCAAAACUACUAACUGUAAGAUAAAAUGUGAAGUCCUCCAGAAUAUAAAAAGACUCACCAAAGCUGACUGGAACAUCCCAUGACCUCAACGAAAUACCUGUUGAUGAUCCUGAAUACUUGUAUCUACAUCAUGAAACGAUGCAGUUCAAAUGGCUCAGUAUAUGGAAUGUACGAGCAUGUAGGGGGGAUUUUAAAGCAUAAACAUAAGCUUGAACUGGUGGAAAAGAAACAUACUUACCUCCUCUCAACUCACUCAACUCAAAUAAAAGAAACAUAGUUCAACUCAACUCAGAGAAAAUAGGGCUCAACUCAAUAAUAAGAUAUUCACCUCAGUGAAAUAAGGCACAACUCAAUAAAAUAAGUUUUAAAACAAUUUGUUAAAAGACUUCUUAAAAUAGGGUUCAUGCCAAAUAUGGACGUGAACGGCUCAAUUCAAGGUUUUCAAUAACCAAGCAUAGAAUUCAAUACUUCAAACUCAACAACUCCAAAACUCAAGGAGUCAAUGAUACUACUCAUCUCAAAAAUGCUCGGGGGGAGGGGGGGUUCAUGCGGAAUUAUGGGCAUGAACAACUCAACUCAAGGACUUCAUGGGUAACAUGUAAUAGUCUCAUGAUUAGGUAUAUAAUCUCAAAAGGGUUAGGAACUCAAUACUCAAGACUUAGAACUUGAAGAUACUACUCCUCUCAAGGAUACUCAACUUAUGGGUUUCAUGCGGAAUUUAUGGGCAUGACCGACUCGACUACAUAACAAUAUGGAACUCAUGUAUAUGACUCUUCUCAUUCUCAUACUUACUUCCUCAAAACAUAGCUCAAAUCGAUAGUUGAUCUCAAAGGAUUCACAAUUGAACUCAAAGACUUUCUUGAACUCUACUCAUAACUCUCUCUUGAAUUUAUAUUAUGGAUUCAUGAGUUAUGAUUAAUGAUAUGAAGGAUCUCGUGAUGAUAAUGUAGACUCAUGAAUACAUUCUCCUCAUUCACAUACUCACUUACUCGAGUCUUGAAACAAGUUAUUAGAAAUUGUAGAAGACUCCUCAAAAAGACUCAAAGGGACUUUCUCAAAAUACUCGAAAGAACUCUCAAGACUUGACUCUUAACUCUACCUUGAAUUUGAAUUAUGGAUUCAAGGGUUCUGAUUUGUGAUAUGAAGGAUAUCGUGCUGAUUAAAUGAGUUUUAUAUAUUUAAUCAUAAGAAAUGGUCAAAAAAACAUUGUAUGGGAGCAAGUCUGCGACGCGGAGAUUAAUUAUAAUAUUUGGUCUCAAAAUAAUUUUUGAAACAGUGGAGUCCGCGUUCUCUCCGCGACACAGAGAGGGAAAUUUCACUCUGAACAAAGUCGCGGACCUAGUACCUUAUUUUAAGCUCGGUCUUUUCUUACUCGUUUUCUAAUCCCAAUUUACCUACAAUCGAAUGGUUUCUUUCCCAAACACUUAGAUUCGAAUACUCAACUUAUGUACACGAUAAUCUACUCCAAGCCACCCUCAAUUCACUAACUUUUAUCUCAAGAAUUCAUCAAACACAUUCUAAUUCAAGAAUGGAAACAAUACUUUCAAGAAACAAAUCAAGAACUCAAAUUCUUCAACUUCAAGAACGAAACUUCGCUGAAAAUAACAUGAAUGGCAUGUGGGUGAACGAACCCAACACUAUGAGAAACUCACAUACCUCUCAGGGAUCACAUCCAUGGCAAAAAUCCACAACAAAAUUCAAGAAUCUCGACGAACGGUUUGAUCAUUUCCUCUUUCCUCCUAGUUUCUCUUUUCUCUUCUUGAACUCUCAACUAAAACCCUAAGCGUAGAUUCGGAUUAUAAAACUGAACUAAAUCAGUUUAGACCCCUAAAACCUUACUAAAAAUGAAUUAAAUCUGCUUGGGUAAGGAAAAGACCAAAAUACCCCUCACUAUUUUUGGGUAACUUUCCUUAACUAGACAACCUGACUUCAAAAGGGCAUAUCUCACUCAUCCGAGCUCAAAGCUUAACCAUAUGGGGAUAUAAGACGUGGUAUGCAUGACCAAGAUAAAGUAUUGUAAAAAAACUUUAAAGAAGAAUCAUGAAUCAUGAACAUGGUCAAUGCAUCUUAUAAUCAUUAAUGGAAGCUUCAUAAAACCUUUCACUACAACAUUUUAGGCCUAGGGCCACACUAAUUCUGGACAACGCUUUUAAAGCGUAGCCCAAGUUUUUAACUUUUAGCUGCGAUAAUAUUGGCAACACUUGUAAAAUGUACUCUUUAAUGGUAUAAGCUACACUUUAUAAGCGUUAUUAAAGUAUGAUAUAAUUGGCAACAACUAUUUACAUAUAUGGCCACACUUUUAAAGUGACCUAUUUUUAUAAUUGUAAAAACAACACAUUACAAAUGUGGCCUUAAAAUUUUCACUAAAAUUUUAUAAUCCCUCCAACAUUUUUAACUCUCCCUCCCAUUUUUAUUGAGCAAAAAAAAUAUUUCAUAAAACAUUAAAAUUUUCUUUUCCCCCAAAUUAGAAUUGAAGAACUGAUCGAGCUGAAGAGCUCUUCUCUCGGUCAAACUUUCUCACAGAACAAGCAAAAAUUGUUGAAUCGCUGAAGAACAAGCAAAAAUCACUGAAGGUUUAUCAGGUAAGUCUUUUUUUCCCCAAAUCAGAAAAACUUUCCGUCAAUUUGAAGAACACGAUUUUCUCUCCAAGCUAAGUCUGAAGAACACGAUUUUCGUCAAACAUUCUCACAGAUUUCACGAUUUCACGUUGAAGAGCUGAAGAGCUACUCGCUAAAGAACACGAUUUCACGAUUUCUUAUUGAAGAGCAGAAGGUUAUGCCUCACAGAUGAACACACCUCACUAAAAUGCUUCACUUGAGAAGAUGGUGUCUUAAAGCUUCAUCACAUUGAAAGGAUUUUGGUGGAAUAGGGUUUAUCAGGUAAAAAAUUCUAUCUUUGAAAGUCUAAAUUUUAGCUUUAGGGUUUUGAUAUUCUUGUGUCUGCAAAUAUGAUUUUUGUUGAUUUUUGGGAGUCUAGCUCGUAGUUGUAUUACCCACAUCAGUUGAUUAAUCACUAAAUAAGUAUAAAUCAACAAGGAAAGCAUACAAAUCUGGGUGUUUGUGGGAAGUUGAUAAAUACUUGUUUGCAUUUUUUGGAGCAUAUGGUUGAAAGAAAUAUGAGGUGUUUUGAUGGGGUCUCAACUCCCAUAGAUUCUUUAAAGGCCAAACGUAAUGCUAGUUUAUUAAUCACUAAAUUAGUGUAAAUCUUAUAAGUAUUAUGUUUUUGUUGCUUCAACUUUAUUAGUUUCUGAAAUUGUUUAUCUAGUCAUGCUUUCCAUUUUAUUUAGAUUUUAGGGUGCAGUGAUUAAGUUAGCUUUGGAUAAUUUUGGAUAGAAAUGAAUGGCUAAGCAUUCUUCUGGAAACUGAUUACAAGUGUUAAAGAAUUGUGGACUUGUACGUGCGAAACUGACGAAGAAAUUUUCAAGUUGAGACCAUUGUGUAGAACUACAUAUAGAGGUACAAUUGGUCCUAGUUGCAAGGAUCGGGGAGGAUGUUUGAUUCUUUUCAACUUUUUCCUCCUGAAAGUAGUCAAACCCAAUUUUUCUAGAACAUAGCUUCAUUUGGCCAACUUGGUCAGCUGCUGGUAGGUGUAAAAUUGCUAUAGAAUGUCAGAGUUAUGACUCCAUUUAGAUAGGAAGUCAGCUGUACAGUUUGCCUCUCUAUAUAUGUGAUUGCACUUGAAGAUUUCCAGCUGAUUUGUGAGCCUUUGAAGGUCCUGAAUACACUGUUGGAGUGCCCAUGGAGGGUGGUUGCUGUGAUUUAGCCAAUGUAUAAGCAGUUGAGAAUCAACUUUCAGCUGAAUUUUCCUAUACCCAUGUUGUAUGCACCAGUCCACCCCAUGUAUUGUAGCUCAAAUCUCUGUCUGGUUAUUAGUUCCUAAGCCGAGAGGAAUAGAGAAUGCAUAGUUAAUGUAAAAAAUUUGGCUGCUUUACUUCUACUGUGAUUUCUACUUUUUAACUUUAUAAACUCUGACUACACUUACUGAUUCGUCCUUUGUUCGACUUCUGUGGAUUACAUCCCGCUGACUGUGAAGUUGUUGUGCUUCAUUUUUUCCCCUUUCGUUUGAUCUGUGGGCUCUGUGUGGAGUUUAUUUUGUCGGCCUACACUUGAUUGUUCAAUUUUAUUUUGUUGGCAUACACAUAAUUGUGUAAAUUUUGUUUUUGUUCUUGCUGUCAGCAAACUUAACAAAGUUUUAGCUGUUUUGCGAGUAGGAGUUAAGGUUCUUCUAUGUAGUAGUUAUGUGUAUUGGAUGGAGCUGAUAGAGUGAAGAAAGUUGAAUUCACACUUCACUCAGCCCAUUUUCCCCUCCAUAAGAACACACCAGCAAAUACAAUACCAAAAUUAAAUUUCAUGAAUAUCAUUAGCCCUAUUCCUAUCAAAUACUAUCUCUUUUGGCGAAUGCGAUACGCACCCAUUGACAUUGAAUUGGAUGAAUAUCACCAUCCUUAUCAUUAUCAAAUACUAUCUCUUUUGGCGAAUGUGAUACACACCCGUGGACAUUUAGUUGGUUUUACUAUAAAAAUGAAUACAUUGUGCAGUGGCAGUUGUUGUUCUUUACCAAUUUAAAAUAGAUAUACACAUUGAACAUGCAGGGCUAAUGAGUUCUAAAGAAAAGAAUGAUGACUCCCUCUCAACAAAAAGGUCUGCUGAGAUGAAACUUAGACGACGUGAAAUGGAUAGACUGGUUUCUGCAGAAAAGAGAGAGGCACAAUUACUACAACGUCAAACAAACAGUCAGGAGCUAAAAAGAAAUAUUAUAUCUGCAACAUCAGCUUUUCAUGUGCAAGAUCAUCCUGCUGCAAGUGUACAAGGCUGCUGCUCCACCUCUCAGAAUCCUCAUCAAAUGGACUUUUCUACUAUUCCCGCAGCAAAAGGUCAUGUCAAAAAACUUUUCUUAUUAACUUGGAAUUUAUACAUGUGGUGAUGAUGGAAUGACAAUAGAUAUUUAUAUUUGCAGGGUAUUUUUGAAGGAAAAACGUAAUGAAGAAUGUACAUAUUCUGUUUGGAAUUAAGCUGUAAGAUAGUCAUGUUAUGACUUAUUGAGUUCAUUACUUAAUUGAUGUAAGAUGGUACACUGCUGCUAACAAGAGAUAGAAGACACACAUAGAUACAUAUUAAUUAGGCGUCAUCACCUACAUUGACUCCUCCAAGUCAGAGUAAAAUUCUAGAAUCAUCAAAUCUGAAAAGCUUUGUUGGAAUUCAGGGUUUGAUUCUUUAGCAUCAUCAUUCUCUCUUUGAUCUGCUUUUACUAAAUUAUUUUCGAAUUUGUCAUUUACUUUUUAAAUUUUGUUUCUAUUAUGUGAAAUAGCUAUGAAAAUUGUUUAAUUAGCAUACACCUACUUUAAAAGUACUAAAAUUUAUGCUUAGAUAAUGUUAUGCAAUUUCAUAGUUUGUUGUCCAAUUUGAGAAAUGAAUUUUGAUUCACACUUGCACUACAUAAGGUGCAUGCAUUAUGAAAUAUUUAGGUAAUUCAGUAGUUCAAUCAUUGAAGAUGAUUUCAAGCAUAAUGUUAGCGUAAUUAAUUAGUUGUGCCUCUCUGAUUACUUGUAGCUCAAUUUAAUACUACCCAAUUUAAGGUUUCCAGUAAGAAACUUGAAUUGAACUUUAAACUCUGCUUCUUUUGGUGAUCAUUGAAGAUGAUUUCAAGCAUAAUGUUAGCGUAAUUAAUUAGUUGUGCCUCUCUGAUUACUUGUAGCUCAAUUUAAUACUACCCAAUUUAAGGUUUCCAGUAAAAAACUUGAAUUGAACUUUAAAUUCUGCUUCUUUUGGUAUUUCUGUCAUUGAACUCAAUUUCAGGUUCAUCUUUUCAUCUGAUUUAGUUUUGAGGAGUCAGUUGGUUGAAUUUGUUAAAGAUACAUCAUUUUGCCAUAACGUAGUUAACUAAUCAUGCUUCCUAUAAUUCUUGAUUUUGAUAAGUUGAUUAACUAUUUUCUCGGUAAACUUUAACUACAUACAAUUACCUCACUUUGCUCAAGCUAAUCAGGCUUCAUGCCAGGAAUAGAAGAACAUCUUGAAUUAACAGAAUUACAAUGCAAAACUGCUCCAGAGUAUAUGUGGUAAUAUACAAUUGCAAUUCACACCUAAUUAUUAUUAUGCUUCGUCAAAAAAGUUGUCUACCUUUAAUCGUUUCUGUUUCUCUUCAUUUUAAUCAAUUCAAAAUUAUUAGUCUCAUUUAUUUUCUUCUCUUAUAUAUACUUGUUAUAUAUACUUGCAUGUAGAUCUAACGCGUGUAUUCCCUUCAAAUCACGCUUUCAUCUUGGAUUUGAAAAGCAACAAACUCAUCAAAGACCCCUUCACCAUUUUCUCUGUUCCUUUUCGUCUCAUUUAUUCUUCUUCAAUUAUAACUGAUCUUUCUUGCUGAAACCUUUGCUUGAGCAGUAGAAAAUUUGGGGAAAAUUGGAAGCUUCCUCAGCUGUUUAACUUCAACUUUGCUCAGGUUAGUACUUUUUAGUCUCAUUUUGUUUGAUGCGAUAUCAGUUUCAUAACUCUUACAAGCUGAAAUGUUGCAUCUUUGUCCAGUAAACUCCAUUGUUUGACAACUUUUUUCCCUUUCUAGUUUUCUAUUUCAGCUAAGAUUUCUUCAUGUCUUUUUGGUUUCAUAUUGUAGUAUUUUGACUCUAGUAUAAUUACAAUCUCUUUAGUAUUAGUAUUAAUGUGUUGUGGCGUGGAGCUUCUGGAUUUAUCUCGUAUAUAGUUAUCAUUUUGAUUAAGUUAUCUGAACAUAAUUAUCACUUGAUUUCUUUGUUCAUCGUGAUUGAAUGAGUUUGUGUUGUAGCUGCCUUAGAAUUAGAUUUUGUUUUCUGUGGUUCAGCUACUGUUUAUCCCUGCUCUCUCUCUCUUUAUUUGAAGUUGUGAAAAAAUGCUAAAAAUCCCUCUCUUAUUCAUGUCUAAAAUGUCUGCAAAACAGUGGCAUACUUUGUUAAUUUUGUUUACUGCUUUGCUCAUGUUCAAAAUGUUCAGUUUCAUUCCAUUAAUAUAUGUGUCUACUACUGCCCUUUUCUUAGUGGUAUGAGACAUUGAUUCUGCAUUGUCAUUGUUUGUGGACUGCUAUGUGUUAGGAAGGAAAUUUGUUUUUGAAGGUGGUGGUUUACUUCAUUUUAAACUAGUUUUCGCCUUACUCCUUACUUUUUGAAUUUAGUUCUUGUUACCCUCAUAUAUGAAAUUUCAUAUUGCAUUUUAGACUUAAUAAUAUCAACUCCAAUAGUCUACUUCGUUUUUUGAUUGAUAAUCGCUUCCUUGUCAUUAUCUUUGUCUAAGUAAUUAUGUCCCAAAUCCACCUGAUUAAUUCACUCCCUCAACACCUGAUUGAAGACAUACGAGUCUACCAGAGCAUCUUCAGCUAUCUGUAAUAGGACAGUAAAGAAAACGGUGCUUGUUGCGUCUCUUCCCCCAUAAUACCUCUUCUCUAUAGGUUGUCGUGGGCUUAAAAGACAUGUUUUUCGCAACCAGCCAUCGACAGCUUGUUAACAUAGACACCUGCAUUUUAGUUUGGGGCUGGCUAUUUUAUUGAUUCACACCUCAGUAUUUGAACUGUAUUUUAGUUUGAAAAGUGCUAAACAAGACUUGUUAUGUGGAUGGGUAAUGAGACGUGAUGGUUUUCAACUCACUUCAUUAUGUAGCUUAUAAUUCACUAUAUAUACAUGGUUUAUGCAAGUUUAUCCAUCAAUUCUCAGUGUUAGUUGUUGACUCCAUCACUUUUAUCACUUAAAUGUAUGGCCUCACAUUUUUAACCUUACCAAUUGUUAUCUCUGUUGCCUUUGAAAUGCACUUUGGUUACAACUUAUGGGACCUCUAAGAAUAUCUUGAAUUUUUUCUCCUGCUGUCUUGUUCUUUGGUCUGAAGUGGACUACAAAAUUCUGAAAGUUUUUUUGCCGUUAAAUUUUAAUUUGUAAACUGUAAUCUGCAAUCUACAAUUUGGAACCUGCAAUCUUGAACUGUAUUCUGCAAUCUGGAAUCUGGAACUAUAAUCUGUAAUCUGCAAUAAUCUGGAAUUUGGAACUGUAAUUUGUAAUCUGCAAUCUGGAACCUGCAAUCUUGAACUGCAAUCUGAAAUCUGGAACCUGUAAUUUGGAACUCAUGUAAUCUGUAAUCUGCAAUAAUUUGGACUUUGGAACUGUAAUCUGGAACUCAAAAAAUCUGCAGUCUGCAAUCUGCAAUCUGGAACUGCUGCAAUCGGGAAUCUGGAACUUCUUGCCUCUUCUAUAACGUACUGCUGCAAUCUGAUUUGUUGUACUUUUAAAUGUGUAGGGAAAUGAAGGUGAUCAGAUUUGAAGGGUCGCCACAAGUCAAUUUGAUCUCAUUGAAGUUGAUGAAUAGUUUUUGAACUAUUGUAAAAGUUUGAAUACAUUAUGUUUGAUUUUGUGAAAUAUAUUCAUUGCUAGAAUAUAUUGAACUAUUGUAAGAGUACUUUCUGAACUAUUGUGUACACAUAUUUAGAAUAUUGAUUUAUAAGUAUGUGUAUGUGUACACAAGAUAUACUAUCUUUUGAAGUUUAUUGCAAAUCUAUAUAUUUGAAUUACUUAUGAGCCAAUUUAAUGCUUGAGAUUAUUUAUUGCAAAAUAAUAUUGGUGUUUUUUCAUUAGUUAAUUAGAAAUUGUGGCAUAUAAAUAUUUUAUAGCCAAAAUGAUAUGGCCACACUUAAAAGUGUAGCCAUAGGGCUAUAAAUUGUGGUAUGCACGUGGUCAAGGACUACACUUCAAAAUGUUGUCAUACACUAGAUGGAAAAGGCAACACUUUAAAAUCGUUGUCAUACAUUAAAUAGAAAAGGCAAAACUUUAAAAUCGUGGUCAAUAAGGAAGAAAAGGCCACACUUGAAAGUGUAGUUGUAUGAGAUAGAAAUGUUGCUAUUUGAGGUACAUAGAAGCGUUGCCAUUUAGCCUUUUAGGCUACGCUUUUAAGCGUAGCUGAUAAGGAAACACUUUUCAAGUGCUGCCUAAACUCUAAGGUAACGCUACUUUCGGGCACCCCUGGAAAAGUGUUGCUUAAAGUCCAAAAGUGUAGCCUUUUAUCAAAGGCCACACUUUUUGCUAGUUUAGGCAACAUCUUACUGGGGUGGCCGUAGGCCUAAAAUGGUGUAGUGUGACUUGAACGAAUUAUUUUUAGUUUUUUUUGGAACUCAAGGUGCAACAUCUAGUGACCUUAACACUCAAGAAAUUUUAAAUUCCUCAGUAAAAUCCUACUCACAAUGAAGGAUGGUUCGAGUAUUAGUUCAAAAAAAUUCUAGGGUGUUACAAUAUCUCCCCCUUAGGAUCAUUCGUCCUCGAAUGACGGCUGGACUGGUUAUGGAAUGGGUCUACUCUUAUUAUUUCUGCCAUUCCAACUAGAAUUGCCCGCAUUACUCUUCGAGACCAACUAAGGGCUUUAAUUUAGCUAUUUCUCAUAGCAAAACCUCAUCCUCCUCUUCCUUCACAUUUAUAACUUUAGAUGAAUUAAACACACCAUCACUAUCACGAUAAGAUCAUUAACCUUCCCUUUCUAACAUCACUACAUUACUAAAUGGACCUCUAAAAAGAUAUCCCCCAAACUCUUUGGAACUCAUUACUAACUUAUUCUCAAACACUUGACUUGAUUUCUCAUCUUGCCAUCUCCCCUUUAGGUCUAAAGCUAACACUUGAAAGUUAUGGACCUAUUCCAUCAUAUAUAAACUGGUCUACAUCCUCUUUUACUCUAACAAUCAGGAGAAGUUUAUCUCAUGCCUAUCGAACUCUCCAUAAGCAGGUACUAAGACCUCUCUCUAACGUGUUCCUCUUAACCUCUUCUGAUUACAUACCAUCUCGAUACACCUCUUAAUGCUCUUGUAACUCUUGUGACUUAGCCACACUUCAUUUCCCUUAUCUAAAGGUUAGGGUCUCUCACUUGUACCACUCAUAUUUAUUGCAGCUAACAUCUCAAUUUCUCACCUGCUCUAUGUUAAGUCUUCUAGAUCAAAUCCCAAGACUAACAUCAUCACUCUCAUGUUGCCAAUUUUUUGGUUAUGACACUUAUCUCAAAUUCAAGCUUAAUGUUUAUUACUAAACCUGAAUAUCAAUAUGAUUACUCGCCUACUAUACUAACUCGCCACUACUAUGCACAAUUUUAGAAACACUCGUUCACUAGGACCUUAUGACAAGUACUCAAUCCUUAUAUCUCUGUCUACAUACUCACAAAUUACCAUCACAUUCCACUUCACAACUUAAGUACUACUUACUCACUUACUGCGCAUUAUCUCUCAAAUAGUUCUAUCAUCCUCUAAAUAUCAUAGGGUUCUCCUUUCAAAAUUUAUAAGCCUAGCUUGGGUCUAUCACUUCAUUAGUACUCUACUAUUUGAUUCCACACCUAUAUUUAGUAUCCUCUAACACGAUGACACAUCGACCUCAACUCUUAUUCUGGUUAACAAUAUAACUUAUAUUGACUAGUAACUAUUCCUCUUUCUUCUAUCAAGAACUCUCUACAACCUUAUUAUUCUUUUUUUCUACUCAUAAAGGAACUCAUCACUUAUAAUUUACUAGGUACACGGUUGCAAUAACAUAAUUUGUCUCAUCACUAUCUCAUUCUCUUAGAUAAUUGAACCUCUGCAUACUUUCCUCUAAUUUUGGGUACUUUCACUACUACUGCUCAUGAUCUCGUAACUUAUGUUACCUUUUCGGGCAAAAAUACUACACAAGCUCUAAUCAGACUUCCUCAUAAGGAUCUUAGUUAUAACAAGGCUUAAGGAAAAGAGUACAACUCGCUUUUAGCUCAAACGCACGAUUCAUAUAAUUAUGGGUACAUUCCUCUAAAACUCAACACUUAACUCACUCAUGGGCUUCUCUCAAGCCCUUCUGGAGUCUCAUGACUUCCUCAAGACUCUUGUUAAGAAUAACUCAUCGAUAAAGGACUGGCUUUUCUAUUCAACCACCUCUAGUAUGAGGGGUAGUCGAAUGAAUCUGAGAAACGCACGAGUAUGAAUAAUCUCUAUGACUUAGCUCUAUUGAACGAUUAAGAGUAUGAAAGAAGGAAAACUUUUCUUAAAUGUCUGCAGUCCCUAAUUUAAAGAAGUGGAGCCCUCACAACCAUAAACAAGAUUGUACCGUCACAUCUUCAUAGACACCCUAGGACACCUGAACUCUGUGCUCUGAUACCAAGUUUUUCACGUAUCCGAGUCUACACCCUGGACGUGGCCGACACUCGAGAACCAUUGUCGAUCCCCAAGCGAACCUUCAUCCUUGCCGACUACAAGCAGAAGACUAACUUAAGCAUUCAAAAACUUAAAAACUGAAUUAAGUUCAAUAAACUCAACUUUAAAAUAAUCUAAACAAUACUCAAUAGUUAACUCAGAGAUUGUAAAAACAACUCAAAGAAGAUACAUACUGAAAACUACUCAACUUUAUCUAUCUAUGAAGCCUCUACUAUUAUAGAAGGAUAUCGGGACAAGACCCACAACAUCUCAAAACUACUAACUGUAAGAUAAAGGUAAAGUUCUUCGAAAUAUAAGAAGGCUCACCAAAGCUGAUUGGAACAUCCCAUGACCUCAACGAAACGCCUGCUGAUGAUCCUGAAUAUCUGUAUCUGCAUCAUGAAACGAUGCAGGCUAAAUGGCUAAGUACAUGGAAUAUAUGAGCAUGUAAGGGGAAUUCUAAAGCAUAAACAUAAGCUUGAAUUGGUGGAAAAGAAACAUACUUACCUCUUCUCAACUCAACUCAAAGAAACAUAAUUCAACUCAACUCAGAGAAAAUAGGGCUCAACUCAAUAAUAAGAUACUCAACUCAGUGAAAUAAGGCUUAACUCAAUAAUAAGAUACUCAACUCUGGAUACUCAACUUAAUAUAAAGCAACAAUACAGAUGCAAUAUAUGGAAAACUUUUAAAACAGUAGAAAGCAACUCAAUGUAUUGAAAAAUACAAUAGUAACUCAGUUUGUAUGCAAGGAUACAAGAUAAACUCUGCUUGUAUAUAAAAAUACAAAGUAAACUCUGUGUAUAUAAGAAUACAAAAAUAUCUCUAUGGAAGUUUCUCUAAUCGACAACCAUCACUAUGAAUUAUAUGAUGAUACAACGUCAAACCCACGCUUCCAGAGCCAUCCUAUACUUUGCCUGGGUAUAGAACCUACUACUAAGUGGAUCACUAGUCUAUGCUAAAAGCAUUAAGGAAUCAUCUAAAAAGUAUGACCCUUUCUACCCACAUUGGCUACAUGGUUUAUGAGGGUUGUGAGUUGUAUGAUCUCUCCCCCAUAUUGGUGCUCAAUACUACUCCCGAAAUAUACUUAGCUCAUUAUGUUUCAAAGAAAACAUUUCUNNNNNNNNNNNNNNNNNNNNNNNNNNNNNNNNNNNNNNNNNNNNNNNNNNNNNNNNNNNNNNNNNNNNNNNNNNNNNNNNNNNNNNNNNNNNNNNCUCAAAACUCUUUUGGAAAUCUCAGUUUCCUCUCAUCGUAAAUUUAAAAACAUUUACUCUUGGGAAUACUUAGUUCUCAUAUAUCAUUUUAAAGAAAAUGAACUCAGCUCUACUCUUCCUCAACUCAAUGCUCAAGUUUUUAAAACAAGUUUUAAAACAAUUUGUAAAAAGACUUUUUAAAAUAGGUUCAUGCCGAAUAUGGACGUGAACGACUCAAUUCAAGGUUUUCAAUAACCAUGCAUCGAAUUCAAUACUUCNNNNNNNNNNNNNNNNNNNNNNNNNNNNNNNNNNNNNNNNNNNNNNNNNNNNNNNNNNNNNNNNNNNNGGGUUCAUGCGGAAUUAUGGGCAUGAACAACUCAACUCAAAGACUUCAUGAGUAACAUAUAAUAGUAUCAUGAUUAGAUAUAUAAUCUCAAAAGGGUUAGGAACUCAAUACUCAAGACUUAGGAACUUGAAGAUACUACUCUUCUCAAGGAUACUCAACUUAUAGAGUUCAUGCGGAAUUUAUGGCAUGAACGACUCGACUCAAGGGUCUACAUAACAAUAUGGAACUCAUGUAUAUGACUGUUCUCAUUCUCAUACUUGCUUCCUUAAAACAUAGCUCAAAUCGAUAGUUGAUCUCAAAUGAUUCAUAAUUGAACUCAAAGACUUUCUUGAAUUCUACUCUUAACUCUCUCUCUUGAAUUUGAAUUAUGGAUUCAAGGAGUUUAUGAUUAAUGAUAUGAAGGAUCUCGUGAUGAUAAUGUAGACUCAUGAAUACAUUCUCCUCAUUCACAUACUCACUUACUCGAGUACUUGAAAACAAAAUUAAUUAGAAAUUGUAGAAGACUCUUCAAAAAGACUCAAAGGGACUUUCUCAAAAUACUCGAAAGAACUCUCAAGACAUGACUCUUAACUCUACCUUGAAUUUGAAUUAUGGAUUCAAGGGUUAUGAUUUGUGGUAUGAAGGAUAUCGUGAUGAUUAAAUGAGUUUUAGAUAGUUAAUAAGAAGAAAUGGUCAAAAAAACAUUAUAUGGGAGCAAGUAUGCGACGGAAAGAUUAAUUAUAAUAUUUGAUCACGAAAUAAUUUUUAAAACAUUGGAUUCCGCUUUCUCUCUGAGACGCGGAGAGGAAAAUUUCACUCUGAAGGAACAGGUUCGCGACGCGGACCUGGUACCUUAUUUUUUGCCUGAUCUUUUCUUACUCAUUUUCUAACCUCGAUUUGCCUAGAAUUGAAUGGUUUCUUUUCCAAGCACUUAGAUUCGAAUACUUAACUUAUGUACAUGAUAAUCUACUCCAAACCACCCUCAAUUCACUAACUUUAAUCUCAAGAAUUCAUUAAAAACAUCCUAAUUCAAGAACGGAAACAAUACUUUCAAGAAACAAAUCAAGAACUCAAAUUUUUUCAACUUCAAGAACGAAACUUCGUUGAAAAUAACAUGAUUGACGUAUGGGUGAACAAACCCAACACUAUGAAAAACUGACAUACCUCUUAGGGAUUAGACCCAUGGCGAAAAUCCGCAACAAAACUCAAGAAUCUCGACGAACAGUUUGAUCCUUUCCUCUUUUCUCUUAUUUUCUCUUCUCGAACUCUCAACUAAAACCCUAAGCAUAGAUUAGGAUUAUAAAACUGAACUAAACCAGUUUACACUUCUAAAACCUUACUAAGAAUGAAUUAAAUCUAAUUGGGUAAGGAAAAUACCAAAAUACCCCUCACUAUUUAUGGGUAACUUUCCUUAACUGGACAGUCUGACUUCAAAAGGGCAUAUCUCACUCAUCCGAGCUCGAAAGUUAGCAAACUCGGUGGUGUUGGUAAGAUAAUUCAAAGAACUUUCUUUUUAUAGUUUAUGGGUCACCUAACAAAUCGCGUACUGAAAGUUAUGGUCGUUUGAAGUUGACCCUAAACUUAAGUAACUUACGAAUAACUUGAACGAAUUCUCUUUAGUUGUUUUUAGAACUCAAUGUGCAACACAAGUAAACUUAACACUCAAGAAAUUUUAAAUUUCUCGGUAAAAUCUUACUCACCACAAAGGAUGGUUCGAGUCUUAGUUCAAAAAAUUUCUGGAAUGUUACACUAACGAUAGCCAUACAAUAUCACAUCUAUAUGCUAAUAAUAUUUUGCCUUAAUUAUCAAACCAACAUCUACGUAUAUCAGCAUAAAAAAAAUGGUUAAGGAUUUCUCCGUACCUGGAGGCCUUCUUUUCUUUGUUUCUCUUCGUGCACCUGUGUCGUUUGCACAAGUGUGGUUCUUUUCUUGCUUUUAAUUCUUUAUGGAAAAUAAUUAUGGACUACUAAAUAAAUAAAUAUUAAUUCCUAAUAAUUUCUUCAUAUACAUGGCCAUGUGGUAAGGGUAUUAAAUAAAUUAUGGAUUUGGCCCAAUAACCACCAAUUAAUAAAAAUUAAUUAUUUAAUAAAUAUACGUCGACUAAAUAACCACAGUUAAACUAAUCGUUUAAGAUUCUCAUUUAAAUUUUAUGAAAAGGUUCUUUUAUGAAAGAAAUAGAUCUAGUACUCAAACAGACUAAUGGAUCGUUACAUAAUUCACCACUAAAAACUAUGUCCGUCCUCGAGCAUAAAGAAGGAGAAGGAAGAAUAACUAACUUUACCAAAAGUCUGGCUUAUGAUCUUCCAAUCGGUGUUCAUCUCUCAAAGUGAGCUCCUCCUUAAGACCAUUCCAUCAAGAUUAACUACAAAGAAACAAAUGAUUAUCAGGCCACAUACUAACCCAUAAAGUCAAUCUAAACUGAAACCCACCCACUGGACCAUAACACAACCAUCAUAAUGAAUUUUUUUUCUCAUAUAACCAAGAUAACGUUCUGAAUCAAUAUUGGCUACAACUAGUAGUGAACGUGAACCAAUCACUACACACUCAUAAUGCACAAACCAUCACAGAUAUUAUCAAGAUUUCCUUUCCAUAACACAAUCUUUUCACGAGUUUAAGUUAUAAAAAUCUAAUCUUUAGAUAUCGGAUACUCAUCAAGGGAGAAUCAAUUUUUAUCUAACCCAAAGAAGAAAAUGAUUAAGUAAACACCCAACAAGCGAUACACUUCAAAAUUCAGAACCUCUAACAACACUCCUAGACAAUUGUAACUCAUUAUAGCUCUUAUAUAAGUUCUCAUAAGCGACGUUGUGCGUGUAAACUACUGGUAUACUUUAACUAUCCCAAACAACACCAAAUCUACCAUAAUUGAAAUAACCAAGUCUUUCCAAGGAUCCUACCCUAUCAAGAGGACAUAAGAGGAUCGGUACAUCCGAUCCACCACUAGGGAUUCACCCAUAAAUGUAGAAACACACGUGGACAUAUGCAAUGAAUCAUACUGCAAAUCAUGUCAGAAACGAAGUAGGUGAUCACAAAAGAAUGUACGGAACCAAGGUCAAAUAACACAAGAUACUCUUUUCAUAGUGUCCAUACCAAAUAUUUUCACUCAUUUGACUCCAUCUCUUUGAUUUUUAGCUACCCACAAUCCACCAGUCUUGUCCCCAAUACGAUCCUACUCAUACUCAAUGUAUCAUACCUCACAUACUUCUCAUAUUACUCCACUGAAGUCAACCAUCUUAAUACUAACAAAACAUCAUAACCACACUAGUCAUUUACCUUACUCUCAAACUUUCACUAGUAUCAAAGUCUUUUAAGCAACACAUUGUCGCCUUCAAAAAUUAUGAACCAUGGCUCCCUUUAUUUUCAUUUAAGCAUUCCAUGACAGAUAGGAGUCACACUUAAGACUGAUAGAACUAAUUCAAAAUCUAAAAGUAAUUUUCCAUCGAGGUAUAACAAUUGAAUCAUACCCAAAGUCAACUUCACACAAACUUUCACAUACAAUAUUUCAACUACUAUUCCAAACCAUCACAUAACUCAUUCUAAAACUCAUAGAAAUCCUUGGUCACUCAAAUAAUUAUGUAUAUUAUAAUCUCAUAACAUUUAUUUACCAUCCAAUGUCUAUGCAAUGCAUCACAAUAGUUUGUGUAGUCUCAUCAAUAGGGUAGUAUCAAUCUAACUCGAAAUCCUUAAUAAUCAUGUAGAAUUGUAUCAUAUCAUAUAGUGCAUCCACAAGUCAAUUAUAACACCCUGGAUCCAGAAAAGGGCAAAGCAACAGUUUUCAGGAAGUUGUAGGUGCCAAUUGAUGAUGGUCGACCACGGACCGUAGGUGUGGUAUGUGGUUGGUGUUGACAUCCUUCGAAAGGGCACAACGUCGCGAUGACUCACCAAAAAAUAAUAAACAAUUUAAAGAAUGAAAGAAUUUUAAAAAGGGUAAAGGGGUUUAGAGAGAGUCGCUACCUAAUUUUAGGAAAACUAGGAAACCAAUUAACUAACUUAAUAAAAAUGUCUACGAAACCAAAGAUUCUAGGUAAGGGAUUCAAGUUAUUCCGAAGGAAAGGUGUUAGGCAUCCUUCGAAAUCCACAAUUGUGGGUCCUGACUGAAUUCAUUUUUUCAAAUUGAGGAGGAGAUAAAAACAAAUAUACAAGUAUAAUAAGCAAGUGAUUUACACAAGUAAUAAAAUGAAACAAUAAUAUAAGAAACGGCCUAAAGCUUGACUAACAUCGAUAUAUACAAAAUAAUGAAUAAAGAAUAUAAUUCGAAUUUCAUUCGAAUAGCUUUAAUGGGAAGCAACUCUGUGUACAUGUAAAGACACAUAGUAAAAAUAUUAGUAAUAAAUAAACAUGAAUAAAAAUAAAUGAUCAAAGCAUAACUUAAAAGUAAAAACCCGUCUUAUUAACAUGGAAAGCCUUGAAAAUCAACGAUAAUUUCUUCAUCGACCAUUUUAACAAACAAAAUAUGAACAUAAACCAAAUUUCCGUCUUUUAACAUUGGAAAAACCUCCAAAAUCGAUAGAGAGAUUUUUCAUUGGUCAUUGUACAUACAACACAACACAAUAAACAAUAAUAGCAACAAAAUCUUAUAAUAUAGUAACUAAAUAUAAACCAACAAUAUAUGAACAGUAACAAAAUAUAAAAUUCAUUGGAACAAAUUUCCACACCAAAUCAUUAAACAAAGAAUAUGUAACAUUAUAAUGAUAAAAAAUAACGACAAAACAAUAGAUAACAUUCCAAAAAUAAUAAAGAAAUAACCAAAAUCCAAAUCACUGCAUAGCUCAUUUUAUAGUAUUAAAAAAACGUUAAUAAGAUAAUAAAUAAAAUUCAAGACUUGAGCAAAAGCAGAUAAAAAGCAAACUAAAAAUCAAAAUCAACAAAUUACAAUGUAAAAGAAGAAAUAAAAUAAUGAGAUAUUUAAAAUAACAAAAACAUAAACAACAACAAUAAAGUAUCUAAACUAACAAAUUUUAUCUUUGGACCAAAUCAUAAGAUAAUAGCACAUAACAAUAGCUGUAGCAACAUAAUUAAGGCAACAUAUCACGGAGAUAAAUAAAUCAAAAAAAUUGGCUAAAUAAAGCCAAGACACCCUGGAGAAGAUGAGAUUAACAAAAAAAUACCACUUAACACAGUAAAAAAAAAAAAAACUAUUCAACUCAACAAAAGCAUAACCAGCAUACAAGUCAAUAAUGAUUAAGAAUAAAGAGCAAAACAAAUCCAAGUAUUAAUUAAUAUUUAGAACAAAAUCAGACUGAGAGGGAACCUAACUGACGGAGUUCUCUUUGAGUCUCCAGAGUUUGCGUUGCGGCGGCGUGUGGUGCUCAUCGGUGGUGUUUGUUUAUUGCUCUGAUGGAGCUGAUUCGUCCCGCCUUUGAUGGGAGCUGUGGAUUUAUUGUUGUUGGCGACUAUUCGCCAG
Molecule: long non-coding RNA, 18088 nt
Filed under: Solanum tuberosum (potato)
Lineage: Eukaryota; Viridiplantae; Streptophyta; Magnoliopsida; Solanales; Solanaceae
Description: long non-coding RNA (STUB_LNC008178)
Source: RNAcentral